This 443-nucleotide ribosomal RNA is filed under the name uncultured bacterium. Its description in RNAcentral is "partial 16S ribosomal RNA". It matches the Rfam family "Bacterial small subunit ribosomal RNA", at positions 338 to 795 of the family's 1533-position model. The record is from RNAcentral.
CCUACGGUAGUCAGCAGUGGGGAAUAUUGGGCACUGGAGGAACCUCUGACCCAGCAACGCCGCGUGAAUGAUGCAGGUCUUCGGAUUGUAACGUUCUUUUCUAAGGUAAGACGAACGUGACGGUACCUUCGGAAUACGCCUCGUCUAACUACGUGCCAGCAGCCGCGGUCAUACGUAGGCGGCGCGCGUUAUACGGAGUUACUGGGCGUAAAGGGUGCGUAGGUGGUUUGGCAAGUUAGUAGCGUAACUCCAAGGCUCAACCUUGGAACUACUACUAAAACUGUUGGACUUGAGUGCAGGAGGGGCAACCGGAAUUCCUAGUGUAGCGGUGGAAUGCGUAGAUAUUAGGAGGAACACCAGUGGCGAAGGCGGGUUGCUAGACUGUAACUGACACUGAGGCACGAAAGCGUGGGGAGCAAACAGGAUUAGAUACCCGAGUAGUC